Molecule: ribosomal RNA, 688 nt
Filed under: Halomonas sp.
Lineage: Bacteria; Pseudomonadati; Pseudomonadota; Gammaproteobacteria; Oceanospirillales; Halomonadaceae
Description: bacterial SSU rRNA
Rfam family: Bacterial small subunit ribosomal RNA
Source: RNAcentral
AAGAAGGCCUUCGGGUUGUAAAGCACUUUCAGUGAGGAAGAAAGCUUGUCGGUUAAUACCCGGCAAGGACGACAUCACUCACAGAAGAAGCACCGGCUAACUCCGUGCCAGCAGCCGCGGUAAUACGGAGGGUGCGAGCGUUAAUCGGAAUUACUGGGCGUAAAGCGUGCGUAGGCGGCUUGGUAAGCCGGUUGUGAAAGCCCCGGGCUCAACCUGGGAACGGCAUCCGGAACUGUCAGGCUAGAGUGCAGGAGAGGAAGGUAGAAUUCCCGGUGUAGCGGUGAAAUGCGUAGAGAUCGGGAGGAAUACCAGUGGCGAAGGCGGCCUUCUGGACUGACACUGACGCUGAGGUACGAAAGCGUGGGUAGCAAACAGGAUUAGAUACCCUGGUAGUCCACGCCGUAAACGAUGUCGACUAGCCGUUGGGGUCCUCGAGACCUUUGUGGCGCAGUUAACGCACUAAGUCGACCGCCUGGGGAGUACGGCCGCAAGGUUAAAACUCAAAUGAAUUGACGGGGGCCCGCACAAGCGGUGGAGCAUGUGGUUUAAUUCGAUGCAACGCGAAGAACCUUACCUACCCUUGACAUCGUGCGAACUUGGUAGAGAUACCUUGGUGCCUUCGGGAGCGCACAGACAGGUGCUGCAUGGCUGUCGUCAGCUCGUGUUGUGAAAUGUUGGGUUAAGUCCC